CAACAAAUCCCAGUCUACCUAA
Molecule: microRNA, 22 nt
Filed under: Homo sapiens (human)
Lineage: Eukaryota; Metazoa; Chordata; Mammalia; Primates; Hominidae
Description: hsa-miR-7-2-3p
Gene: hsa-miR-7-2-3p
Source: miRBase by way of RNAcentral